UUGCUGGUAAUCCUAAGGAAGAUGAGGAAGCAUCCGAGGAGAUGGAUACUAAAUCUGAAAGUAAAUCAAAUGGUGCAGCAGGAAACAUUGGAGGUCCAAAGAUAAGUCCAAAGCCUGCAGAAUCUAAAUCAGAUUGUGCAUCAGGAAACAUCGGAGGUCCAACGAUGACAUCAACGCCUACAGAAAGUAAAUCAGAUGCAAGAAGCAUGAAGAGUACACAGGUGGCUCCAAAACCUGCAGCAAGUAAAUCAGAUGGUUGAUGGUUGUUCUAUAAAUGGGUAUGUCAUAUGUGUUAAUUGGAUGGCUGAUCUUAACUACUGUAAUUACUUAUGCGAGUUUGUGGAAUAACUUUUUAUUUUAGUUAUGAAUGCUAAAACAUGUUAUAAGCAACCUCAUACGAAAUUGA
This is a long non-coding RNA of Papaver somniferum (opium poppy), 406 nucleotides long. RefSeq lists it as uncharacterized. Lineage: Eukaryota; Viridiplantae; Streptophyta; Magnoliopsida; Ranunculales; Papaveraceae. The record is from RefSeq and is a predicted model, not a curated record. The transcript is spliced from 5 exons.